AUCGAACGCUGGCGGCAGGCCUAACACAUGCAAGUCGAGCGGAUGAAGGGUGCUUGCUUCUGGUUUCCGCGGCGGAAGGGUGAGUAAUGCCUAGGAAUCUGCCUGGUAGUGGGGGAUAAUGUCCGGAAACGGGUGCUGAUACCGCAUACGUCCUGAGGGUGCAAGAGGGGGGGCUUUGGACCUCACGCUAUCAGAUGAACCUAGGUCGGUUUAGUUAGUUGGUGGGGUAAAGACCUACUUAGCAGGCGAUCGGCAACUGGACUGAGUGAAAGAUUAGUCGCACUGGAACUGGGACGCGGACCAGACUCCUGCGAGAGGCAGCAGUGUGGAAUGUGGGGCAGUGGGCGGAAGCCUGAUCCAAUCAGGCCACGUGUGAGGAGGAAGUCUUCGGAUUGGAAAGCACGUUUUGUUGGUGGGAAGGGCAGUAAGUUGUGACGUUGCUGUUUUGACGGUACUAGCAAAAUAAGCACCGGCUAACUACGUG
This 484-nucleotide ribosomal RNA is filed under the name uncultured bacterium. RNAcentral's name for it is "partial 16S ribosomal RNA". It matches the Rfam family "Bacterial small subunit ribosomal RNA", at positions 30 to 507 of the family's 1533-position model. The record is from RNAcentral.